CUCAGAACGAACGCUGGCGGCAGGCCUAACACAUGCAAGUCGAACGGAUCCUUCGGGAUUAGUGGCAGACGGGUGAGUAACGCGUGGGAAGCUACCUUGUGGUAGGGAACAACAGUUGGAAACGACUGCUAAUACCCUAUGAGCCCUAUGGGGGAAAGAUUUAUCGCCAUGAGAUGUGCCCGCGUUAGAUUAGCUAGUUGGUAAGGUAAUGGCUUACCAAGGCGACGAUCUAUAGCUGGUCUGAGAGGAUGAUCAGCCACACUGGGACUGAGACACGGCCCAGACUCCUACGGGAGGCAGCAGUGGGGAAUAUUGGACAAUGGGGGCAACCCUGAUCCAGCCAUGCCGCGUGUGUGAUGACGGCCUUAGGGUUGUAAAGCACUUUCAGCAGUGAAGAUAAUGACAUUAACUGCAGAAGAAGCCCCGGCUAACUUCGUGCCAGCAGCCGCGGUAAUACGAAGGGGGCUAGCGUUGUUCGGAAUCACUGGGCGUAAAGCGUACGUAGGCGGACUGAUCAGUCAGGGGUGAAAUCCCGGGGCUCAACCCCGGAACUGCCUUUGAUACUGUCAGUCUUGAGAUCGAGAGAGGUGAGUGGAACUCCGAGUGUAGAGGUGAAAUUCGUAGAUAUUCGGAAGAACACCAGUGGCGAAGGCGGCUCACUGGCUCGAUAC
This 671-nucleotide ribosomal RNA is filed under the name Pseudovibrio denitrificans. RNAcentral describes it as "bacterial SSU rRNA". It matches the Rfam family "Bacterial small subunit ribosomal RNA", at positions 23 to 740 of the family's 1533-position model. Lineage: Bacteria; Pseudomonadati; Pseudomonadota; Alphaproteobacteria; Hyphomicrobiales; Stappiaceae. The record is from RNAcentral.